UACGGAGGAUGCGAGCGUUAUCCGGAUUUAUUGGGUUUAAAGGGUGCGUAGGCGGGCUCUUAAGUCAGCGGUAAAAUUGAGGGGCUCAACCCCUUAUGGCCGUUGAAACUGUUGGUCUUGAGUGGGCGAGAAGUAUGCGGAAUGCGUGGUGUAGCGGUGAAAUGCAUAGAUAUCACGCAGAACUCCGAUUGCGAAGGCAGCAUACCGGCGCCCAACUGACGCUCAUGCACGAAAGCGUGGGUAUCGAACAGG
This 252-nucleotide ribosomal RNA is filed under the name uncultured bacterium. Its description in RNAcentral is "partial 16S ribosomal RNA". It matches the Rfam family "Bacterial small subunit ribosomal RNA", at positions 524 to 776 of the family's 1533-position model. The record is from RNAcentral.